CGGACGUGAGGAACCUGCCUCGGAGUGGGGAAUAACACAACGAAAGACUGUGCUAAUACCGCAUGAUACAGUUGGGUCGCAUGACUCUGACUGUCAAAGAUUUAUCGCUCUGAGAUGGCCUCGCGUCCGAUUAGCUAGUUGGUGAGGUAACGGCCCACCAAGGCGACGAUCGGUAGCCGGACUGGGAGGUUGAACGGCCACAUUGGGACUGAGACACGGCCCAG
Molecule: ribosomal RNA, 224 nt
Filed under: uncultured bacterium
Lineage: Bacteria
Description: partial 16S ribosomal RNA
Rfam family: Bacterial small subunit ribosomal RNA
Source: RNAcentral